This is a long non-coding RNA of Xenopus laevis (African clawed frog), 267 nucleotides long. RefSeq lists it as uncharacterized. NCBI's taxonomy places the organism in Eukaryota, Metazoa, Chordata, Amphibia, Anura, Pipidae. The record is from RefSeq and is a predicted model, not a curated record. The transcript has 3 exons.
UCUGAUCAGACCAGUAGAACUAGGAUAACUAAUGAAUGGUGUCUUCCUUCGACAGCCACACCUCCAAGCCAGGUCUCCAAAUUCAAGAGCAGGAAUUAUCCACCUACAUCAUUAGAACCACCAAUGCACAAAGAGAAAGCUUCCAGUGUUGAAACAAACUUUCAAUCUGAACAGACUGUUAGGAGAACUAUCAAACAGCUUCUUCCUCCAAAGCCCACGCUACCAAGCCAGGAAUCCAAAUAUAAAAACUGGAAUUGUCCACCUACA